CCAUAGCAAGAACAAAGGAAGAAAAGAAAGAACAAAAACCCUAGAGUGAAAAUUCAAGAGAAAAUUGAUGGAUUUCAAGUAAUCAAGCCAUCAAAGGUAAAAUUUCUUGAUUUUGACUUGUGAUCUACCUUUCCCAUACAUUCUUUUGCAUUUUCCAUGGUUGAAUCACAUGAUUUCAUGAUGGGUAUCUUGCUGGCCGAACACUUAGAGAGAGGUUUUGAUGCUUGAUUUGGUUAGAUUUCAAUGUAUUUUAGUGUUUUUAGUUAGUUAGUGAUGUGUAGCAUGAAAAGCCAACAAGAAAAAUUCACUUCCUCCCAUCACCCAUCAUUGGCCGAAUUUUCCAUGUAGAGUGUGGAUGGUGGAUUUGAUUUUAUUUCAAGCGAAUUGGUUAGGAAAUGAUGAAUUACGGUGAGAAAAUCAAGUUGGAAAAAUCAUAGUGUUGAUGCACCCACCAUGGCCGAAAUUCCCAAGAGAAAAUGUGAAGAUGAUUUUGCUAAAUUUUAUGCUAUUUGACUUGUGUUUGAUGGUUUGGAGAAUUGGAAGAAAAAUGGAGUUAAUUGGAGUUGAAUUGGACAUAUUGGCCAAUUAAUCGAGUGAUAGAUCGAAUUAGGCCAAUACCGUUUUAUUUAGGUACACAAUUGAAUUUGUGUAGAACACCGUGUUUAGACGAUAAUCCGAACAAUUUGCAUUCCAUUUCAUGCAUCCGUAUAGUUUUAUAACAGUUUAGCACCAAUGUGGUAAAUUGUUUAAUUGUGCAUUAUGUCUAGGUGGUGAAUCCUCCGAUAAGGGCAAAGAAAUUGUACCCGAUGAUCAAUAGUCGGAGUACUCUAAAAAUUCGACUCCCGAAAUAGUGAGUAACCUUAUCAUCAUUUUAAUUAUCUAAAGUGGUCUUUUUAUUCGAUUUUGUGAAUUUUAUGGAAAAUGAGUUUAAAUGGUUAAUUUUUAGGUUUUAUAAACAAAAUGUGUUUAAAUGAAAUGAUUUUAUAAAUUGUCUUGAAAUUGAAUGAUGGCUUUGAAAAUAGAGUAAUUGGAGACCAUUUGAUGUAUUGUGAAUUUAUGGUUCUAAUUGAUUGGCUUAUGGCAAUAUUGGCAUGAAUGGCUGAAUUGGUAUUUGUGUUGAAAAUGUAUAAACUGUUGUUUGCCUUGAUAGGCUGGAUAAUGAUAAAAUUGCCAUGUCAUGCUGUUGAAUUUUAUUGAAUUGGUGGGUUAUUGAUUAGUCGCUGCAGUGGACGGGUUCCGUGGACCAGCUAUUAGAGGGGGCACGGUAACCCUAUUAUAUUCAUACCUUAGUAUGAGAGGCGCGGAUGGAUAACUCCUGAGGUUAACACUUUAGAGUUCACUUCAUGCCAAACCACCACGUGAGGGUGAACUCAGCCAACGCCAAGGAACGGCUAUGUUUUCAAAAUAAAAACAUGAUUUAUGCGUACAUAACUUUUUAACAGCCUUGGCGGACUCGGUUGGGAUAGCCCUCGGCCAAGGUAUCCCUGAUAACUGAGUAUGAGAAUGAUUUUGGCACGAGCCAAAGUUUUAAGAAAUUCAUAAGCCAUGUUGAUUACUCGAUUUAUAUGAAUUGAUUUUAUUUGGUUGAAAUGAGUUGAAAGGUGAUGAAUUACAGUAUGUUAAACUAUUUUAUCUGUCUCCAUUUACUCAGCUUUAGAUAUUUUAGAUGGUAUUUGUUUACUCACUGGGAUUAUAUAAUCUCACCACCCUCCUUUCCACCCAUUUCAGGCUCAGGAUAGUCGGUAGAUAGCUCAUUUCGUUGAGGGCUACAGUUGGACUUGCAUCCUCAAAAAUUGUAGGUUUACCGCUUUUGAUACUUUUGGUCGUUCGUGGGCCCACGUGUCACUGUAAAUUAAAUUUUAUACUUUGGUUAUCUGUAUUACAGUAUGUAUGAAUUUAUUUAGCUUUUACGCUACAAAAAUUAUUUACCGGUAACUCUAUAAAUAUUGUUUUAUAAGAAAAUAGAAUAUUUUAUUGAAUAUUUUUAUUAUAUUCAAAUAGUUAUAGUUUCACUUUAA
Molecule: long non-coding RNA, 2018 nt
Filed under: Theobroma cacao (cacao)
Lineage: Eukaryota; Viridiplantae; Streptophyta; Magnoliopsida; Malvales; Malvaceae
Description: long non-coding RNA (TCAC_LNC003310)
Source: RNAcentral